RNAcentral lists this ribosomal RNA (312 nucleotides) under Triticum aestivum (bread wheat). RNAcentral describes it as "partial small subunit ribosomal RNA". The record is from RNAcentral. Lineage: Eukaryota; Viridiplantae; Streptophyta; Magnoliopsida; Poales; Poaceae.
AUGCUUCAUGCUUCAUCCUAUAACAUUCAGUUAUCCUCAUCUUGUAAGCGAGACACCCUACUUUUCCUUGUUGAUCUCACACAUAUGCUCAUUGUGUUUGUGUUUUCGCCGUACAUGCUUUUUAAUGGUUGCUAUCAUGUUUAUUUACUGCAAAUACUCCACCUCUUUUCCAGUUGGGCAUGUUUUUUGAUCGAGAACAAUUUUCUGCAAGUCUGGGCAGCACUAAAACUUCUCCCCAAUCAUGCUUGUCUGAUUUUGUUUGCAAGGGAUAACUUGCAGAGCAUGUCUGAAGAAACGCAAGAAAAGGAGUGA